Long non-coding RNA from Passer montanus (Eurasian tree sparrow), 357 nucleotides. RefSeq lists it as uncharacterized. The transcript has 3 exons. NCBI's taxonomy places the organism in Eukaryota, Metazoa, Chordata, Aves, Passeriformes, Passeridae. The record is from RefSeq and is a predicted model, not a curated record.
UUUCCCUGAUGCUGGCCGCUUGCCAAGAAGACACCAGGACAGACCCUCCAAGGUAAAGAGAAUGGGCAGUGACAUCAGAGCCAGUAUGCAGAUGAAAAUGCAUUGCGCCCUGAAUUUUAACAGUUUUACAGUUUUUACAAGAAAAACCCCUAAAACCACGAGCCAACAAGUGACUUAAGUGACGUCUAAGGAUGGGAGCAUAGUCCCGUACCUGCUUGGACCCUUUUGCUUCUCACCCUAACCUGAAAAGAUACUGAUUAAAGAGACACCCCGGAGUGUUAAACAAACAAGCAGGAAUCUACGACUCUCCCGUGAGGACAGAAUCCCCAGCUCUGCCUGCAGACCAGCGGACACAGC